This 72-nucleotide transfer RNA is filed under the name Bos taurus (domestic cattle). It matches the Rfam family "tRNA". From Rfam's summary of the family: Transfer RNA (tRNA) molecules are approximately 80 nucleotides in length. Their secondary structure includes four short double-helical elements and three loops (D, anti-codon, and T loops). Lineage: Eukaryota; Metazoa; Chordata; Mammalia; Artiodactyla; Bovidae. RNAcentral also lists the same sequence under 3 other names. The record is from Rfam by way of RNAcentral.
UCCCUAGUGGCUCAGACGGUAAAGUGUCUGUCUGCAAUGCAGGAGACCUGGGUUCGAUCCCUGGGUUGGGAA